RNAcentral lists this ribosomal RNA (590 nucleotides) under uncultured Bacillus sp. RNAcentral describes it as "bacterial SSU rRNA". It matches the Rfam family "Bacterial small subunit ribosomal RNA", at positions 505 to 1091 of the family's 1533-position model. Lineage: Bacteria; Bacillati; Bacillota; Bacilli; Caryophanales; Bacillaceae. The record is from RNAcentral.
GUGCCAGCAGCCGCGGUAAUACGUAGGUGGCAAGCGUUAUCCGGAAUUAUUGGGCGUAAAGCGCUCGCAGGCGGUCUUUUAAGUCUGAUGUGAAAGCCCACGGCUCAACCGUGGAGGGUCAUUGGAAACUGGGAGACUUGAGUGCAGAAGAGGAGAGUGGAAUUCCACGUGUAGCGGUGAAAUGCGUAGAGAUGUGGAGGAACACCAGUGGCGAAGGCGACUCUCUGGUCUGUAACUGACGCUGAGGAGCGAAAGCGUGGGGAGCGAACAGGAUUAGAUACCCUGGUAGUCCACGCCGUAAACGAUGAGUGCUAAGUGUUAGAGGGUUUCCGCCCUUUAGUGCUGCAGCAAACGCAUUAAGCACUCCGCCUGGGGAGUACGGUCGCAAGACUGAAACUCAAAGGAAUUGACGGGGGCCCGCACAAGCGGUGGAGCAUGUGGUUUAAUUCGAAGCAACGCGAAGAACCUUACCAGGUCUUGACAUCCUUAUGCCUUCCCUAGAGAUAGGGCUUUCCCUUCGGGGACAUAAGUGACAGGUGGUGCAUGGUUGUCGUCAGCUCGUGUCGUGAGAUGUUGGGUUAAGUCCCGCA